Molecule: long non-coding RNA, 871 nt
Organism: Lolium rigidum
Lineage: Eukaryota; Viridiplantae; Streptophyta; Magnoliopsida; Poales; Poaceae
Exons: 2
Source: RefSeq, a predicted model, not a curated record
UCAACCUAUGCCUAAAUAUAUCAUUUUGGGAGUAUUGCAAAUUAGUGCUUGAUGUUUGAAAAUAUAUCUAAUUAUAUACCUUGCUUAAAUCCUAAAACUUGAUGGUAUGUUGCAGGUCCGCAAAAAAGUCUGAUUGAACCAUGGCUCAGAAAAUGCGUUCUGCUGAUAUAUUUUGCUCAAUAUGAAUGAUAUGUCCUGAUGAUGUACAUUAGGGGCUGCUUCAUUUUUAAGUACAAAUCUAAGUGAACUAUCAAGGUUCCUCAUUUAACAUGUUUAUGAUCUCAACAACUUUAUAAAUUGUCUUGUGCUGAUAAAUUUUUAUUAGUAAUUAUGGAGGUAGUGCGAAGAACAAUUGUCUGCUCACCUGAAAUUGUCGCAUCGUUCUCAGAAUGUGUUACGUGGACUGUCUCCCAUUACCUACUUUGCAUCCAGUUGCAACAAAAGAAGCGUAUCUGCUCUGGCUUUCUACCGGUUGACUAAUGAUCUGUAUGAGGAACACUAUUAUCCCUGUCUCAUUCUUUCCUCUGAAUCAAGAGAAUACCAUCUCUCCGGCUAUAUCGGAUUCGGUAUCACUACUAAAAAGGGAGGCAACAAGGGCAUGUUUUCUAAGCAAGCACCAGAUGUCCAACAUUUGCUAUCAAGGUGGCAGAUGUUGAAUUCAAUAUAGCCAAUGAGAAGUUCAUGCUAAAAAGGUGGUACUGUUUACUCCCGCUGGGACCUCAAUUUACUCUUGGCCACGAUUUAGUGUGAUACCAGCAGACUGAGUUGUAUUUGUGUUUGCCUAAAAUGUGGAGUUUUUCUAUGUGUUACUAUACACAAUAUUGUAACUUUGGUUUAUUAAUAAUUUUGGAAGUGGCCUAAAGUUCUUAUA